AGUGGCUAAAAGCCCGAAGAGAUAAGUGCUGAGCUGGGUUUAGAACGUCGUGAGACAGUUCGGUCCCUAUCUGCCGUGGGCGCUGGAGAACUGAGGGGGGGCUGCUCCUAGUACGAGAGGACCGGAGCGGACGCAUCACUGGUGUUCGGGUUGUCAUGCCAAUGGCACUGCCCGGUAGCUAAAUGCGGAAGAGAUAAGUGCUGAAAGCAUCUAAGCACGAAA
RNAcentral lists this ribosomal RNA (222 nucleotides) under Escherichia coli. Its description in RNAcentral is "partial 23S ribosomal RNA". It matches the Rfam family "Bacterial large subunit ribosomal RNA", at positions 2570 to 2792 of the family's 2925-position model. The record is from RNAcentral. Lineage: Bacteria; Pseudomonadati; Pseudomonadota; Gammaproteobacteria; Enterobacterales; Enterobacteriaceae.